AAUCCUCAAAGCCCUUUUCUUUGACGAGAAAAGGUGUUUUGGACUUGGAGGUUCAAUGCUCGCUUUCCAUUCCGAAAGCGAGCUCCUCUCAAAUGAAUCAGUGGGGGUCCGCUUUGCUGGUCCUUGACGUGAUAAGAUGUUUCUACGUUUUGGAUCCGGCACUGUCCCUUGGAUGCCUGCUUCUAACCGUCUCAUAGACAAUGAUGGUGCCCCGGUCAACCGCCGUUUACAUCGGCGGGAGGCUUGGCCCACGACAUAAAA
This 261-nucleotide unclassified non-coding RNA is filed under the name uncultured Russula. Its description in RNAcentral is "sequence contains ITS2". Lineage: Eukaryota; Fungi; Basidiomycota; Agaricomycetes; Russulales; Russulaceae. The record is from RNAcentral.